CCCAUUUUCCCCUUUUCAUUUUACUCUAGCUCCAGUCAUAUUUUCCCCAGAUCUGAACCCUUUUUACUUUUCUCUUAUCUCCAAUUACGUUUUCGGUUUCCCCCAAUUCACUCUAAUUCCUCAGGCCAUUUUCCCUUUUAAUUUCUCUCUUUGAAAUCCCUCAAAUCCAGUAGUCCGGUGAGAGAUCUCCAGAAGAUCAGUGUCCGUUUUGCUAACAUUCAGACUAUCUUCUCAGUAUCGUCUUAUUCAACCCAUGAACUCGGAAGUCGGUGAUUUCUAUAGCAAACGCAAAAGGCACUCUGUACAAAAUUAAUUUUAGUUGAUGACUUGCAUGAAGCACAAGAUGAGGAUAAGAAUGAAAUUGUAAUCAUCAUGCGUCUACUUUUUCCUAACAAUUUGGUUGGAUGCCUUUUAGGAAGAAAAGGCGAUGUUAUUCAGAAAUUGCAAAGUGCGACUGGGGCAAGCAUUCAUGUUCAAUCUGCUGAGCAUCUUCCAGUUUGUGCUAUGACCAUUGAUGAACUGGUCCAAAAUGCAGGAAAGGCUCAAUGCACAAUAGGGUGCUAUGGAACAAGAUAUUAUAAUGAAUGUCCUUGCACGACUUCAGCGUCGACUUGAUCCUAACAUGCUAAUAUUACGAGCACUGGAGAAGCUUCCUCUGCACAACAAACUGCUGUUCAACUAAACAAUCGUCCAUCUGCUGGCAGUAACAAUCAAGGUGGAGUAGAUGAAGAAAUGGAAGAUAGAAACAGUGAAGAUCUAGACCUUACUUAAAAAGAAUUUUGAAUUGCUGUAGAUGCAUGGUCUAGAAAUGUUUAUUAUUAACAUUUUGAAACUUACUUUUUAACUCUUUAAAUGUAAGACUUAUGUACUUGGGGUGGAACAUUUCACUCUUAUGGAUAUUAUUAGC
Long non-coding RNA from Nicotiana attenuata, 907 nucleotides. RefSeq lists it as uncharacterized. The transcript has 4 exons. The record is from RefSeq and is a predicted model, not a curated record. NCBI's taxonomy places the organism in Eukaryota, Viridiplantae, Streptophyta, Magnoliopsida, Solanales, Solanaceae.